GAUGAACGCUAGCUACAGGCUUAACACAUGCAAGUCGAGGGGCAUCAGGAAGAAAGCUUGCUUUCUUUGCUGGCGACCGGCGCGACGGGUGAGUAACACGUAUCCAACCUGCCCUUUACUCGGGGAUAGCCUUUCGAAAGAAAGAUUAAUACCCGAUAGCAUAAUGAUUCCGCAUGGUUUCAUUAUUAAAGGAUUCCGGUAAAGGAUGGGGAUGCGUUCCAUUAGGUUGUUGGUGAGGUAACGGCUCACCAAGCCUUCGAUGGAUAGGGGUUCUGAGAGGAAGGUCCCCCACAUUGGAACUGAGACACGGUCCAAACUCCUACGGGAGGCAGCAGUGAGGAAUAUUGGUCAAUGGGCGCUAGCCUGAACCAGCCAAGUAGCGUGAAGGAUGAAGGUCCUACGGAUUGUAAACUUCUUUUAUAAGGGAAUAAAACCUCCCACGUGUGGGAGCUUGUAUGUACCUUAUGAAUAAGCAUCGGCUAACUCCGUG
This 490-nucleotide ribosomal RNA is filed under the name uncultured bacterium. RNAcentral's name for it is "bacterial SSU rRNA". It matches the Rfam family "Bacterial small subunit ribosomal RNA", at positions 28 to 507 of the family's 1533-position model. The record is from RNAcentral.